UACGGGGGGGGCAAGCGUUGUUCGGAAUUACUGGGCGUAAAGGGCUCGUAGGCGGCCAACUAAGUCAGACGUGAAAUCCCCAGGCUCAACCUGGGAACUGCGUCUGAUACUGGAUGGCUUGAGAUUGGGAGAGGGACGCGGAAUUCCAGGUGUAGCGGUGAAAUGCGUAGAUAUCUGGAGGAACACCGGUGGCGAAGGCGGCGUCCUGGACCAACACUGACACUGAGGAGCGAAAGCCAGGGGAGCAAACGGG
RNAcentral lists this ribosomal RNA (253 nucleotides) under uncultured bacterium. RNAcentral's name for it is "partial 16S ribosomal RNA". It matches the Rfam family "Bacterial small subunit ribosomal RNA", at positions 524 to 776 of the family's 1533-position model. The record is from RNAcentral.